ACAUGAAGCUGGAAUCGCUAGUAAUCGCGAAUCAGAAUGUCGCGGUGAAUACGUUCCCGGGUCUUGUACACACCGCCCGUCACACCAUGGGAGUCGGAAAUGCCCGAAGUCAGUGACCCAACCGCAAGGAGGGAGCUGCCGAAGGUGGAGCCGGUAACUGGGGUGAAGUCGUAACAAGGUAAC
RNAcentral lists this ribosomal RNA (183 nucleotides) under uncultured bacterium. Its description in RNAcentral is "partial 16S ribosomal RNA". It matches the Rfam family "Bacterial small subunit ribosomal RNA", at positions 1318 to 1500 of the family's 1533-position model. The record is from RNAcentral.